AAUCAUAUCAACUUGUGGAAAAUGGGCAUCCGAAGACCCCUUUAAGAAUUGUGUGAGAUUUGUGAGAAUUGUGAGAUUAUUUGCUGUCACAUUGUCACACUUUAAUGGAUGUUUGAGAAAACCAUGCGGUAACAGAGUAACAUUGUUUUGUCUCUCCUAAAGCAAGGCAGUCAGAGAAUUCUUAUGUCUGGAUGACCCACCUACUGCUUUUGACAAUGUUAGAGACAGAUGGGCCUUCUGUGAGACACUGGGAGGGACCAACUGUUGCUAUCAAAGAGACUUAAUGGACAACGAGUCCCCGAGAAAUGUCCUGCUGCACAAAGAGCUCCAAAUUAGCCAGCCUGAGAGAACAAAGAAUGGCUUGUAUAGAACACAAGAGGAACUGAACAAAGAGCCCAGAGACUUUUUAACAGCACAGGAAUAUAAAGAAGUGGAAAGAGACAACCUCAGGAGACCAAAUAAAAGUUCCGAACUGGGGUUCAUAAGGGGUCACGGAGCAUGCUGGUGCGGAUCAGCAACUGAGAGUCCAGAAAAGCACAGUUCUGUAGGACUGUUCCAAGAACCCCGUCAAAUAAAUUAAAAGAAAGGGGGGGAAAGCAACUACAGGGCACUUUCUUCAAAUCUUCUGUUUGUUCUUAAUCCAUAAUAAGUUUUGUUUAUUUUGGAUAAAUCAAAAUCAAUUAGUAUCAGAAAAUGAUUUGGAGCACAAACACUUUUAAUGCCUUAACUAAAAGAUGUUCUUUAAAAGAUUUAAUGAUGUGUGUCAGUACGUGUGUGAUCAGUUUGUUUUAUAGAGAUUUUACAGACCAUCUCUUUCAAACUCUCACUUGGACUAUAACAGCCAAAGUAGUAACGUCACUUGCUCUCCGAUAAAAUCUUGUUUACAAUUUUCUGUUUGUUACACAGAUUUUUGACUUCUGUUUUGGAUUACUAACAUUUGGGUACUGGCUUUGAGAUUUGGA
This is a long non-coding RNA of Labeo rohita (rohu), 962 nucleotides long. RefSeq lists it as uncharacterized. The transcript is spliced from 4 exons. Lineage: Eukaryota; Metazoa; Chordata; Actinopteri; Cypriniformes; Cyprinidae. The record is from RefSeq and is a predicted model, not a curated record.